AGUGAACGCUGGCGGUAGGCCUAACACAUGCAAGUCGAACGGCAGCACAGUAAGAGCUUGCUCUUACGGGAGGCGAGUGGCGGACGGGUGAGGAAUACAUCGGAAUCUACUUUUUCGUGGGGGAUAACGUAGGGAAACUUACGCUAAUACCGCAUACGACCUACGGGUGAAAGCAGGGGAUCUUCGGACCUUGCGCGAUUGAAUGAGCCGAUGUCGGAUUAGCUAGUUGGCGGGGUAAAGGCCCACCAAGGCGACGAUCCGUAGCUGGUCUGAGAGGAUGAUCAGCCACACUGGAACUUAGACACGGUCCAGACUCCUACGGGAGGCAGCAGUGGGGAAUAUUGGACAAUGGGCGCAAGCCUGAUCCAGCCAUACCGCGUGGGUGAAGAAGGCCUUCGGGUUGUAAAGCCCUUUUGUUGGGAAAGAAAAGCAGCAGGUUAAUACCCCGCUGUUCUGACGGUACCCAAAGAAUAAGCACCGGCUAACUUCGUG
Molecule: ribosomal RNA, 492 nt
Filed under: uncultured bacterium
Lineage: Bacteria
Description: partial 16S ribosomal RNA
Rfam family: Bacterial small subunit ribosomal RNA
Source: RNAcentral